This is a non-coding RNA of Podarcis lilfordi (Lilford's wall lizard), 74 nucleotides long. Lineage: Eukaryota; Metazoa; Chordata; Lepidosauria; Squamata; Lacertidae. The record is from the annotation of a GenBank genome assembly.
UGAGAUGGCUCAGUCGGUAGAGCAUGAGACUCUUUAAUUGCAGGGUUGUGGGUUCGAGUCCCAGUUGGGCAAAA